UGGGUAACCUGCCUCAAAGAGGGGAAUAGCCUCCCGAAAGGGAGAUUAAUACCGCAUAAUAUGUUUAAGUCGCAUGACUUUAACAUCAAAGGAUUCUCUUCGGAGAUUCCACUUUGAGAUGGACCCGCGGCGCAUUAGCUAGUUGGUGAGGUAACGGCUCACCAAGGCAACGAUGCGUAGCUGGUCUGAGAGGACGAUCAGCCACACUGGGACUGAGACACGGCAGA
Molecule: ribosomal RNA, 227 nt
Filed under: uncultured bacterium
Lineage: Bacteria
Description: partial 16S ribosomal RNA
Rfam family: Bacterial small subunit ribosomal RNA
Source: RNAcentral